GACGAACGCUGGCGGCGUGCUUAACACAUGCCAGUCGAACGGAAAGGCCCUGCUUUUGUGGGGUGCUCGAGUGGCGAACGGGUGAGUAACACGCGAGUAACCUGCCCUUGACUUUGGGAUAACUUCAGGAAACUGGGGCUAAUACCGGAUAGGAGCUCCUGCUGCAUGGUGGGGGUUGGAAAGUUUCGGCGGUUGGGGAUGGACUCGCGGCUUAUCAGCUUGUUGGUGGGGUAGUGGCUUACCAAGGCUUUGACGGGUAGCCGGCCUGAGAGGGUGACCGGCCACAUUGGGACUGAGAUACGGCCCAGACUCCUACGGGAGGCAGCAGUGGGGAAUAUUGCACAAUGGGCGGAAGCCUGAUGCAGCAACGCUGCGUGCGGGAUGACGGCCUUCGGGUUGUAAACCGCUUUCGCCUGUGACGAAGCGUGAGUGACGGUAAUGGGUAAAGAAGCACCGGCUAACUACGUG
This 468-nucleotide ribosomal RNA is filed under the name uncultured bacterium. Its description in RNAcentral is "partial 16S ribosomal RNA". It matches the Rfam family "Bacterial small subunit ribosomal RNA", at positions 28 to 507 of the family's 1533-position model. The record is from RNAcentral.